RNAcentral lists this ribosomal RNA (373 nucleotides) under uncultured organism. Its description in RNAcentral is "partial 16S ribosomal RNA". It matches the Rfam family "Bacterial small subunit ribosomal RNA", at positions 527 to 896 of the family's 1533-position model. The record is from RNAcentral.
GUAGGUGGCAAGCGUUGUCCGGAAUUAUUGGGCGUAAAGCGCGCGCAGGCGGUUCUUUAAGUCUGAUGUGAAAGCCCACGGCUCAACCGUGGAGGGUCAUUGGAAACUGGAGAACUUGAGUACAGAAGAGGAAAGCGGAAUUCCACGUGUAGCGGUGAAAUGCGUAGAGAUGUGGAGGAACACCAGAGGCGAAGGCGGCUUUCUGGUCUGUAACUGACGCUGAGGCGCGAAAGCGUGGGGAGCAAACAGGAUUAGAUACCCUGGUAGUCCACGCCGUAAACGAUGAGUGCUAAGUGUUAGGGGGGUUUCCGCCCCCCUUAGUGCUGCAGCUAACGCAUUAAGCACUCCGCCUGGGAGUACGGCCGCAAGGCUA